UACCUAACCUAGACGAGGUUAAUGGGCGAUCAAUAAGACCCAUGGCCUAGGUUGGUAACCUCCAUUGCACUUUGGAGGGUGCCCACCUAAGGUCAACCCAAGUGUCGAACCUACAUCAUAAUUUGUGGUAGAGGGAGCCAGCAUUCGCGCGACCCCUAC
Molecule: non-coding RNA, 159 nt
Organism: Capsicum annuum
Lineage: Eukaryota; Viridiplantae; Streptophyta; Magnoliopsida; Solanales; Solanaceae
Source: Rfam